ACUUCCCACAACUUCCUAAACCUGAACUACCUAAGCCCAAUAUUUCAGAAAUCCCUAAACCUCAAGUUCCGCAACUCCCUAAACCUGAAAUCCCACAAGUGCCCAAGCCUGAAUUUCCGCAAGUGCCUGAGCCUGAGAUCCCACAAUUGCCUAAGCCCGAGAUCCCUCAAGUUCCAAAGCCUGAAGUUCCACAACUCGCUAAACCCGAGAUCCCACAGUUGCCUAAGUCUGAAGUUCCGCAACUCGGUAAACCCGAGAUCCCGCAAUUGCCUAAGCCAGAAGUUCUAGAGCUCCCUCAACCUGAGCUCCCAGUACCUCCUCAAAAUGUCAAACCCACGAAAUUGCCUACUCCUUCUGCAAAAUUUGAAGUGCCAGAGCUUCCAAAAC
This 387-nucleotide long non-coding RNA is filed under the name Linum usitatissimum (flax). RNAcentral's name for it is "long non-coding RNA (LUSI_LNC003082)". The record is from RNAcentral. Lineage: Eukaryota; Viridiplantae; Streptophyta; Magnoliopsida; Malpighiales; Linaceae.